AGAGAGAGAGAGAGAAUGCAUGUGCGUGCACUUUUAUUUAAAAAGAAAAGUGAGAAAAUGUUCAACACAAACUGAGCCAGGAAUCCUUCUUAAUGCUUCUUUACUUCCUACCCCUGUCGCAUCUGCAAUCAAAGCCAUAAAACCUUUCUCUUCUUGGGUCUGGGUGGAGUAUCACGGGGUUCCUUUAUAAGAGAAGGAGAGUCCUAUUUUAAAGUCAGGAAGGGGCAUCAAGAGAGCUUGAUGAGUAUUGGGUUUUCUUUUUAAUUUUCUCUCUAGAGGAAAUGUAUUGGACCGGCGGGUUAAAUUCCCAGAGGAUGAGUCCCUUUCCAGCAGCCCAGGAUAUCUCCCAGAUGAAUGAUGGUGACAAUAGGCCAUUCCCUGCCCUUCCAAAAGGGGGUGGAUUAUGGCGAAUGGCCAUUCAGAUGCUGCUUUUUUCAAACAGUGUUCAACCCAGUCUCCAUCAGGUUUUGUGGAAGGGGUUAGGGAGAUGCUUGAUGCCUAAAACCUUGGCAAAGGGUGGCUUUAGCCAGCUGAAUGCAUUCUGUUAUUGUGGUACUAGAGGGGGAAAAAUCAUUGAAGGUUCUUAGGGAUCCAUCCCACUGUAAGGAAGUGUCCACUUACUGCUGCAAGCAGGAAUUUCUUCCCAGCUUCAGUUCUCCAUCAUAAAUUUGUGCCUACUCUGAAGUACGUGUUCACUUUCUAUCAGGGAGCUGCUGCCAUACAGAGACUUCAUAACGAUGCAAUUCAGCCAAUCAGAAAACAGUCCAAAGACAAAUAUAUAAACAAGUAAAAGACCAAACUGAACAGCCUUUUGAGAAAGGAAGUUCUAGGAAAGAUAGAAAGUAUUUCAGCUGUAGUGCAAAGGACCCAAAGGAUCCAUUCCCAGCUCUCCCACCUUCAGCAGUCAUCUUCCAACUGAUGUGUUCACAAGGAGAUUAGCUUGGCUAUAGAUCCUAUUUGUCUUAUCAUUGAGAAAUCGUGUUCAUUGGCUGUGUUAUUACCCACAAAAGAAACCUAGUCCUGAGAUCCCCACCGGCAUACUUCGUGGGGGAAUGGUUGGCUGUAAGAAAUCCUCCUGCACAGGAUUUCUUUUCCUUUUUUCGGAGAUAGGGAAGAAAGAGUCUCCCGACACUUUUCUAAAGAUGUACACCAAAAGACAGAGAAGAGGACAGGGUUAACCCAGGGUAUUUUGACCCUUGAAAUGGAUAAUCCAUAUCUUCCCACCUCAUCCCAGUGGUAAAAAGUAUAAGAAUAAAGUACACCACUUAUGUCACUCUUUAAUGGCAGAAAUCUGCUGCCUGAAGUGGCUGCUUCGUUCCGUUUCAUAGUGGGGCUGGCCCUGGAUGAGGAUGAGCUGCAGUCUGUUCCCCCUAGCUGAACUAAGGCAGCCUUGCCCACUCUAGGUCUUGUUGGGAUGAUGAGAGAUGUAAUCCAACAACACCUGGGUCCAGGGGAAGGCUGAACCUAAGAGCAGGUUGAAACAUGGUGGUCUUUUUUUGUGUGUAGUUGCUAGGAAGGUUGCUGUGCAGUGAAGGCUCUCUACAGAGGUGGUAACAUUUGUAAAUCACCAACUGUGCAGAUGGGCCCAAUCGCAUGGAGAGCCGAACCCCAGCAAAUCACGUUCAUGGUUGCCAUCCGUCCAUGUGAUUGGACUGAUCUAUGUAGUAUGUAGCUGUGAAAUAUUACCAUUCUGACACGACGCUGCUGCACAAAGUAUUUUUUGGAGGCCACGUUGUUCACAUUGGUCUCUUGUUCUGCUCCAAGUGAUGGCCUCAGCAGUAUGUUCGCUCCAACCCACAAGGCAAAGGUCCAGGUUCCAGCAGGUACUAACCUGGCAAGGCAAAGUCUAGGUUCUGGCAAGGCGAGAGCUCCUUGGACAGCAGGCUGGAGACUCAGAGCAGAGCUCAGAUGUUGUCUCGGCACUAUUCAGCCUCAUGCUGAACCUUAUGUAGGAGCUGCAGCUCUGUGUAACCAACUCUCCUUUGGGUGAGAGGAUUCUCCUUUAAAGGGGCCCUUCCUGCUUUGACAGGCAAUGGAUCCAAUGGAGUUAGGGAGACUCUAGUUGCAUGAGGGCUUCUAGAGUCCUUGGAGUCAGAGGAGGGCACUGUGACCAUCUUGGACCAAAAAGGUGCUGGAACAACGGGCUUCUGCUGUGCCAUUGUUUCUGGUUAGUAUGGACAUUUGCAGCUGACCAAGGGUCGAUCCCUCUCACAUUCUGAAUAUUUGGCCUCAUCCCCCAAAGUUUGGGAGUCUGACCCUGGGGGCUUGAGCAGGAGAAUGAGUUCGCAAGUCAGUAGAGUGUUGAUAAUUCAGCUAAUAGGGCAAAAGUUCCCAGUCACAAAACACAAACGUGGGAGGGAAGAACAUUUUCGCUCUUUGGCCACACUGGUCUUCUUCCCUUUUGAGGAGUAGCAACACAUUCCCUCAACAGCUCCUGGCAGAGGCACUGCAAUGCUGCUUCCUUCUUUUGGAAUACAGGCCUAGAGCCAUCUCUCUUAAAGCCGAAAGCACAUUUUUCUCUUUGUGUAACUGAUUUUGCAUUUGCUCCUUUCUUAUCACAUGCUGGUCUUUUGAGCCAAUACCUCAGGGUUGUUUGUGUAGCUUUUAAAUGAGAAAAAAAAAUUAUUUGAGAUAAAAGCAACUUCAUUUCUUUUCCCAUUUUCUUUCUUGUUGAAAUGUGAUUUUUUUACAAAAAUAAAAAAUCCUACACAAGAC
RNAcentral lists this long non-coding RNA (2715 nucleotides) under Podarcis lilfordi (Lilford's wall lizard). The record is from RNAcentral. Lineage: Eukaryota; Metazoa; Chordata; Lepidosauria; Squamata; Lacertidae.